GACACUAUAGCCAAGUGGUUAAGGCGACAGAUUAGAAUAUUUGGCUCAUGUCCAGAUGCGAUAAUCUGUUUCUCUCUGAGAGCGUAGGUUCGAACCCUACUGGUGUCG
This is a non-coding RNA of Cerioporus squamosus, 108 nucleotides long. The record is from the annotation of a GenBank genome assembly. NCBI's taxonomy places the organism in Eukaryota, Fungi, Basidiomycota, Agaricomycetes, Polyporales, Polyporaceae.